ACAUGCAGUCGAGCGGAACGAGUUAUCUGAACCUUCGGGGGACGAUAACGGCGUCGAGCGGCGGACGGGUGAGUAAUGCCUAGGAAAUUGCCCUGAUGUGGGGGAUAACCAUUGGAAACGAUGGCUAAUACCGCAUAAUACCUACGGGUCAAAGAGGGGGACCUUCGGGCCUCUCGCGUCAGGAUAUGCCUAGGUGGGAUUAGCUAGUUGGUGAGGUAAUGGCUCACCAAGGCGACGAUCCCUAGCUGGUCUGAGAGGAUGAUCAGCCACACUGGAACUGAGACACGGUCCAGACUCCUACGGGAGGCAGCAGUGGGGAAUAUUGCACAAUGGGCGCAAGCCUGAUGCAGCCAUGCCGCGUGUGUGAAGAAGGCCUUCGGGUUGUAAAGCACUUUCAGUCGUGAGGAAGGUAGUGUAGUUAAUAGCUGCAUUAUUUGACGUUAGCGACAGAAGAAGCACCGGCUAACUCCGUGCCAGCAGCCGCGGUAAUACGGAGGGUGCGAGCGUUAAUCGGAAUUACUGGGCGUAAAGCGCAUGCAGGUGGUUUGUUAAGUCAGAUGUGAAAGCCCGGGGCUCAACCUCGGAAUAGCAUUUGAAACUGGCAGACUAGAGUACUGUAGAGGGGGGUAGAAUUUCAGGUGUAGCGGUGAAAUGCGUAGAGAUCUGAAGGAAUACCGGUGGCGAAGGCGGCCCCCUGGACAGAUACUGACACUCAGAUGCGAAAGCGUGGGGGAGCAAACAGGAUUAGAUACCCUGGUAGUCCACGCCGUAAACGAUGUCUACUUGGAGGUUGUGGCCUUGAGCCGUGGCUUUCGAGCUAACGCGUUAAGUAGACCGCCUGGGGGAGUACGGUCGCAAGAUUAAAACUCAAUGAAUUGACGGGGGCCCGCACAAGCGGUGCAGCAUGUGUUUAAUUCGAUGCAACGCGAGACUUACCUACUCUUGACAUCCAGAGAACUUUCAGAGAUUGAUGGUGCUUCGGGAACUCUGAGACAGUGACUGCAUGCUGUCGUCAGCUCAUGUUGUGAAUGUGGAUAGUCCGCCACACGCACCCUGAUCUGCUUGCACACUCGCUCGACUCAAGAACUGCGUGAUACGAGAGUGGACGACUCAGUCAUGCUACAGUUGCUACCAGUCUG
RNAcentral lists this ribosomal RNA (1139 nucleotides) under Vibrio harveyi. Its description in RNAcentral is "bacterial SSU rRNA". It matches the Rfam family "Bacterial small subunit ribosomal RNA", at positions 53 to 1128 of the family's 1533-position model. The record is from RNAcentral. Lineage: Bacteria; Pseudomonadati; Pseudomonadota; Gammaproteobacteria; Vibrionales; Vibrionaceae.